Molecule: long non-coding RNA, 645 nt
Filed under: Nicotiana benthamiana
Lineage: Eukaryota; Viridiplantae; Streptophyta; Magnoliopsida; Solanales; Solanaceae
Description: long non-coding RNA (NBEN_LNC023601)
Source: RNAcentral
AAAAAUCUCAGAUCAAAUUUUUUUUUUUGCUGUUUACUUUUGCAAUUGCGUUUAUCAUUUAACCCAUUAUAUAUAUCUAUGUUGUGGCUUACAUCUCAGGAAAUGCUAGAAUGUGUAAAGAUUUGAACAUAGGUGUCACUAAUGUUCCAAUGCUUGAAGGCCGAUCAGGUAAAGCUAUGGAUGAUUUAGCAGCUCGUAUGAAGGACAAACAUUUGGAAUUAGACCCCAAGGAUAGUGAGAAAAUGGUCAGAAACCUCAAGCACAACAAGGAAACACGGGAAGAUGACCUGAAAGACAUUGCAUUUACCAUUUAAUCCAUUAUAUAUAUCUAUGUUGUGGCUUACAUCUCAGGAAAUGCUAGAAUGGGUAAAGAUUUGAACAUAGGUGUCACUAGUGUUCCAGAGCUUGAAGGCCGAUCAGGUAAACCUAUGGAUGAUCUAGCAGCUCCUACGAAGGAUAAACAUUUGGAAUUAGACCCCAAGGGUAGUGAGGAAAUGGUCAGAAACCUCAAGCACAACAAGGAAACACGGGAAGACGACCUGAAAGACAUGGAUGUUGGUUAUAUGGGUGAUCACACCAAAACCGGUACUCCUCUAGUAGAAAGUAUGGCCAAUGAAGUUCCAAAAGAUCCUUCGGAGAUCACAA